RNAcentral lists this ribosomal RNA (494 nucleotides) under uncultured bacterium. RNAcentral describes it as "partial 16S ribosomal RNA". It matches the Rfam family "Bacterial small subunit ribosomal RNA", at positions 28 to 507 of the family's 1533-position model. The record is from RNAcentral.
GACGAACGCUGGCGGCGUGCUUAACACAUGCAAGUCGAACGGUGAAGCGCCUUCCUUUUUGGUGGGUGUGGAUGAGUGGCGAACGGGUGAGUAACACGUGAGUAACCUGCCCCCUUCUUCUGGAUAACCGCAUGAAAGUGUGGCUAAUACGGGAUAUUCUGGGUCUGUCGCAUGAUGGGUCUGGGAAAGAUAUUGUUUCGGUGGGGGAUGGGCUCGCGGCCUAUCAGCUUGUUGGUGGGGUGAUGGCCUACCAAGGCGGUGACGGGUAGCCGGCCUGAGAGGGUGGACGGUCACACUGGGACUGAGACACGGCCCAGACUCCUACGGGAGGCAGCAGUGAGGAAUAUUGCACAAUGGGCGCAAGCCUGAUGCAGCGACGCCGCGUGAGGGAUGGAGGCCUUCGGGUUGUGAACCUCUUUCGCCAGUGAAGCAGGCCUGCCUCGUUUGUGGGUGGGUUGACGGUAGCUGGAGAAGAAGCGCCGGCUAACUACGUG